Molecule: small nuclear RNA, 139 nt
Organism: Vulpes vulpes (red fox)
Lineage: Eukaryota; Metazoa; Chordata; Mammalia; Carnivora; Canidae
Gene: U4
Rfam family: U4 spliceosomal RNA
About the family: U4 small nuclear RNA (U4 snRNA) is a component of the major U2-dependent spliceosome.
Source: Ensembl
AGCUCUGUGCAGUGGCAGUAUUAUAGCCGAUGAGGUUUAUCUGAAGCAUGAUUAUCGCUAACUAAAUGUCCCCACAGACCUCUCUGUCUCCCAAUGGAGGACAGCAGUGAAGUGGUAUAGCCAAAUUAACACAAAGGUU